CGCGUAGGCGGCUUAUCAAGUCAGGCGUGAAAGCCCCGGGCUUAACCUGGGAACUGCGCUUGAGACUGAUAGGCUUGAGUUUCGGAGAGGUAGGUGGAAUUCCCAGUGUAGAGGUGAAAUUCGUAGAUAUUGGGAAGAACACCGGUGGCGAAGGCGGCCUACUGGACGAAUACUGACGCUGAGGCGCGAAAGCGUGGGGAGCAAACA
This 207-nucleotide ribosomal RNA is filed under the name uncultured bacterium. RNAcentral's name for it is "partial 16S ribosomal RNA". It matches the Rfam family "Bacterial small subunit ribosomal RNA", at positions 568 to 774 of the family's 1533-position model. The record is from RNAcentral.